Molecule: ribosomal RNA, 479 nt
Filed under: uncultured bacterium
Lineage: Bacteria
Description: partial 16S ribosomal RNA
Rfam family: Bacterial small subunit ribosomal RNA
Source: RNAcentral
GAUGAACGCUAGCGGGAGGCCUAACACAUGCAAGCCGAGCGGUAUUUGUUUUUUGGAACAGAGCGAGCGGCGCACGGGUGCGGAACACGUGUGCAACCUGCCUUUAUCUGUUGGAUAGCCUUUCGAAAGGAAGAUUAAUACCCCAUAAUAUAUUGAGUGUCAUCCCUUGAUAUUGAAAACUCCGGUGGAUAUAGAUGGGCACGCGCAAGAUUAGCUAGUUGGUGAGGUAACGGCUUACCAAGGCAAGGAUCUUUAGGGGGCCUGAGAGGGUGAUCCCCCAAACGGGUACUGCGACACGGACCAGAAGCCUACGGGAGGAAGCAGAGAGGAAGAUUGGGCGAGGGGUUAGGGCCAGAUCCAGCCAUCCCGAGGGAAGGACGACGGCCCUAUGGGUUGUAAACUUCUUUUGUAUAGGGAUAAACCUACUCACGUGAGAGUAGCUGAAGGUACUAAACGAAUAAGCACCGGCUAACUCCGUG